GCGGCUUAACACAUGCAAGUCGAGCGGUAACAGGGGAGCUUGCUCCUGCUGACGAGCGGCGGACGGGUGAGUAACGCGUAGGAAUCUACCUAGUAGAGGGGGACAACAUGUGGAAACGCAUGCUAAUACCGCAUACGCCCUUAGGGGGAAAGGAGGGGACUUUUCGGAGCCUUCCGCUAUUAGAUGAGCCUGCGUAAGAUUAGCUAGUUGGUAGGGUAAAGGCCUACCAAGGCGACGAUCUUUAACUGGUCUGAGAGGAUGGCCAGUCACACUGGGACUGAGACACGGCCCAGACUCCUACGGGAGGCAGCAGUGGGGAAUAUUGGACAAUGGGCGGAAGCCUGAUCCAGCCAUGCCGCGUGUGUGAAGAAGGCCUUAGGGUUGUAAAGCACUUUCAGGGGUGAGGAAGGGUAGCUAGUUAAUACCUAGUUAUCUUGACGUUAGCCCCAGAAGAAGCACCGGCUAACUCUGUGCCAGCAGCCGCGGUAAUACAGAGGGUGCAAGCGUUAAUCCGGAAUUACUGGGCCUAAAGCGCGCGUAGGUGGUUUGUUAAGUCGGAUGUGAAAUCCCAGGGCUCAACCUUGGAAUGGCACCCGAUACUGGCAGGCUAGAGUAUGGUAGAGGGGUGUGGAAUUUCCUGU
This 641-nucleotide ribosomal RNA is filed under the name Marinomonas sp. MH166. RNAcentral describes it as "bacterial SSU rRNA". It matches the Rfam family "Bacterial small subunit ribosomal RNA", at positions 42 to 674 of the family's 1533-position model. The record is from RNAcentral. Lineage: Bacteria; Pseudomonadati; Pseudomonadota; Gammaproteobacteria; Oceanospirillales; Oceanospirillaceae.